GCUCAGCCCCUCUAGGUUUCCGGAAGACUUUAAUGUUCCUCUGUGGACACCCUAAAGAUGAAGACUGAAGCCAGGAAAGCCCCUCGCCAACCAAAGUUAAACUGGUCCCAGCUCCUAGGCCCCUCACCUCUCCUGGCUUAAUAUCCUCCAAGGCGGUGACAUGCAAAAGGAAGUUGUUUUCUGGGAAGGAGGUCUCUGCAUUGGGGACACAGCUGUGGUUGCCUGGGUCAUGAGAGGCAGGUAGUAAGGGUUGUUGACUAAUAAAAAUAACAGCCUCAA
This is a long non-coding RNA of Manis javanica (Malayan pangolin), 279 nucleotides long. RefSeq lists it as uncharacterized. The record is from RefSeq and is a predicted model, not a curated record. Lineage: Eukaryota; Metazoa; Chordata; Mammalia; Pholidota; Manidae.